Molecule: ribosomal RNA, 264 nt
Filed under: uncultured bacterium
Lineage: Bacteria
Description: partial 16S ribosomal RNA
Rfam family: Bacterial small subunit ribosomal RNA
Source: RNAcentral
GUCCACGCCGUAAACGAUGUCUACUAGCCGUUGGAGUCCUUGAGGCUUUAGUGGCGCAGCUAACGCACUAAGUAGACCGCCUGGGGAGUACGGUCGCAAGAUUAAAACUCAAAUGAAUUGACGGGGGCCCCGCACAAGCGGUGGAGCAUGUGGUUUAAUUCGACGCAACGCGAAGAACCUUACCAGGUCUUGACAUCUAGAGAACUUUCCAGAGAUGGAUUGGUGCCUUCGGGAACUCUAAGACAGGUGCUGCAUGGCUGUCGU